GACGAACGCUGGCGGCGUGCUUAACACAUGCAAGUCGAACGGAAAGGCCUCUUUCGGGGGGUACUCGAGUGGCGAACGGGUGAGUAACACGUGAGUAACCUGCCCUUGACUUUGGGAUAACUUCAGGAAACUGGGGCUAAUACCGGAUAGGAGCUCCUGCUGCAUGGUGGGGGUUGGAAAGUUUCGGCGGUUGGGGAUGGACUCGCGGCUUAUCAGCUUGUUGGUGGGGUAGUGGCUUACCAAGGCUUUGACGGGUAGCCGGCCUGAGAGGGUGACCGGCCACAUUGGGACUGAGAUACGGCCCAGACUCCUACGGGAGGCAGCAGGGGGGAAUAUUGCACAAUGGGUGGAAGCCUGAUGCAGCAACGCCGGGGGCGGGAGGACGGCCUUCGGGUUGGAAACCGCUUUCGCUCAUGACGAAGCUUUGUGUGACGGUAGUGGGUAAAGAAGCACCGGCUAACUACGUG
Molecule: ribosomal RNA, 467 nt
Filed under: uncultured bacterium
Lineage: Bacteria
Description: partial 16S ribosomal RNA
Rfam family: Bacterial small subunit ribosomal RNA
Source: RNAcentral